CCUACGGGAGGCAGCAGUGGGGAAUAUUGGGCAAUGGGCGCAAGCCUGACCCAGCAACGCCGCGUGAAGGAAGAAGGCUUUCGGGUUGUAAACUUCUUUUCUCAGGGACGAAGAAAGUGACGGUACCUGAGGAAUAAGCCACGGCUAACUACGUGCCAGCAGCCGCGGUAAUACGGAGGUGGCAAGCGUUAUCCGGAUUUACUGGGUGUAAAGGGCGUGUAGGGGGGAAAGCAAGUCAGAUGUGAAAACCAUGGGCUCAACAUGUGGCCUGCAUUUGAAACUGUUUUUCUUGAGUACUGGAGAGGCAGACGGAAUUCCUAGUGUAGCGGUGAAAUGCGUAGAUAUUAGGAGGAACACCAGUGGCGAAGGCGGUCUGCUGGACAGCUACUGACGCUGAGGCGCGAAAGCGUGGGGAGCAAACAGGAUUAGAUACCCUGGUAGUC
RNAcentral lists this ribosomal RNA (443 nucleotides) under uncultured bacterium. Its description in RNAcentral is "partial 16S ribosomal RNA". It matches the Rfam family "Bacterial small subunit ribosomal RNA", at positions 338 to 795 of the family's 1533-position model. The record is from RNAcentral.